RNAcentral lists this long non-coding RNA (2329 nucleotides) under Brassica napus (rape). RNAcentral's name for it is "long non-coding RNA (BNAP_LNC000360)". The record is from RNAcentral. Lineage: Eukaryota; Viridiplantae; Streptophyta; Magnoliopsida; Brassicales; Brassicaceae.
GCGUGAAGACCUUUGGCUCUCUUGACGCGUGGAGUUGUCUAUGCUCAGGCGUCGGAGAUCCGGUGGUGUUCCUCGGUCUUUGUCUCCUCCAGCCUUCGGUUUAAACAGCAGAGAGCCCUUCUCGGAACUGUGCACCUUCUGUUUUGGGUUUCUCGAGCCGGUUCUUCUUUGUAUCUGCAACUCCGUCCUGUCACCGGUUGUUGCUUCAGCCUAGCCUUUUGAUUCAUCCUCUAGUUUUUAGAGGUGAUGCGUGUGAGAUGGUUGGACCUUCAGGUGGUCUCUGCAGGUUCAUUUUCCUCUCCGUGACGGCACGUUUGGUCUCCGGCUAUCCCAGUGCCUUGUGGGUCUUUGAUCUUCUCGGCAAGUUGGAGUCCAUCAAUGGCUUGCAGGUGCUCGUCUCAGCGUGUUUUUAGCCAGCCACAUCUCAGCCUGUUUUACGGCUUCUUUUGGCCGAAGCGUCUCUGUUUCGGUUCUAGAAAGCCUUCAGUUUAUCUCUUCACUCCCCCUAUCUAUAAAUCAAGUUCAAGUCUCGGGUUAGUGUGUCGAAUACGACCUCUCCGUAUCUCCGUACUGGUCAGGGUCUGCCAAGAGAGACGGACUUGUUGAGGAUGGCGGUUCCCCUUAACUUUUCUUUUAAAAAUACUAAAUGGCUGCUUUUGAAUUAUCUUUUGGUCCGGAGAAAAUGAGUAACACGGUUCGAACAAAGUGAGUAACGCGUAGAAGCUGGUGAAUCAGGACCGCUAGACUUUUUAUGAGAUCCCUUGAAUUAUGAGAAAAAGACCAAAGUAGCACUAAAUCAAGUUUUUGUUUCAAAGAAGCUGGUAAGUCACUUUUUCUCUCUCGACACAAAACAAAAAAAAAAUCAUCUCCUCCCCUCCGGCACGGUGGCCUCGGCGCCGUCGCCGGUGGCUCUCUCUUAACCCUUCCUCUUUUCUUCUUUGCUUUCCCCUCGCUCUACGUCCUGCAGCUGAUAUGUCGAAGCCCUAGGGAGCUCUGCCGGAAGCUGGCUCUCUGGAUCUGGAGCUCGGUGACAGAUCUAGUCUAUGGUGGCCUUCCCCGGUGUCAAGAUGAGGCAGCAAGGCGUUUUGGUAAGGGGAGAGUCGGAUUUUGGGUGGUGAGUACCGAUGAGCGUUUUUCCCAGAUCUGUCUUGCUUCAUCGGUUACUUCCGCGAGUUGGUGGCGCGUGGGCUUUGGAAGAGUCUCACUCGACUCGGAUCUGUCCUUUCGUCGGUGUGGAGAGGCGGUUGUCUCCAUUAGUUUGUCGCCUUGGUGUCUCGGCUUUGGACUCGGUCUCAACCCCUUUCAAGAUGUGCCUCGGAGGUCCUCGACUUCUAGACGUGCAGCGGUGGUCUCUUCUCUGGCGGUGUCAGAUGCAAGUUUCCUCGAUGGCGCGUGAAGACCUUUGGCUCUCUUGACGCGUGGAGUUGUCUAUGCUCAGGCGUCGGAGAUCCGGUGGUGUUCCUCGGUCUUUGUCUCCUCCAGCCUUCGGUUUAAACAGCAGAGAGCCCUUCUCGGAACUGUGCACCUUCUGUUUUGGGUUUCUCGAGCCGGUUCUUCUUUGUAUCUGCAACUCCGUCCUGUCACCGGUUGUUGCUUCAGCCUAGCCUUUUGAUUCAUCCUCUAGUUUUUAGAGGUGAUGCGUGUGAGAUGGUUGGACCUUCAGGUGGUCUCUGCAGGUUCAUUUUCCUCUCCGUGACGGCACGUUUGGUCUCCGGCUAUCCCAGUGCCUUGUGGGUCUUUGAUCUUCUCGGCAAGUUGGAGUCCAUCAAUGGCUUGCAGGUGCUCGUCUCAGCGUGUUUUUAGCCAGCCACAUCUCAGCCUGUUUUACGGCUUCUUUUGGCCGAAGCGUCUCUGUUUCGGUUCUAGAAAGCCUUCAGUUUAUCUCUUCACUCCCCCUAUCUAUAAAUCAAGUUCAAGUCUCGGGUUAGUGUGUCGAAUACGACCUCUCCGUAUCUCCGUACUGGUCAGGGUCUGCCAAGAGAGACGGACUUGUUGAGGAUGGCGGUUCCCCUUAACUAGUUGGUCUGUUUCGAUUUCCAUUUUUUGAUAGUCGGUAAGAGAAAGAGAGUGUCGUGUGGAUCGAGCAGCUGUGUGUUGGCGCUGGUUUGAGAGAAAGUAUCUUUGCAGUGGUCGUCUAAAUUUCGAUUUGGUCGGCGUCGUUGGCCGCGGACUUCUGGUGAUGACGGGAACCGGUAACGGAUCCCUGAACCUUAGGUUUUUUCCCUCCCGCUGUUUUUAUGCUGUUCUCUCUUUGUGUAAUAGUGAUAAGCCUAAUUUAUUUGUGAGAUUUACUGUUUAUUCGACGACUAGCCGGAGGUCUUGUUCCGGU